UUGGGAGGGUUUUAUCUAUUUUUUCUAGGUACUAGUCCUUCCUCAUUCACUCCAUUUCAAUCGUAGGGUAGCCCCUCUUUCUCUUUCGAGUCUUCUUUUUUUUUGUACUUUUCUUCUAAGAAACAUGUUCCACAGAAGUAGGAAGGGGAAGAAGACCAUAGAUGAACCACAAGUUAGGUUGACCCAACCCCUACUGGCUAUAGAGGUGGGAAAUGUACCCUAGAAAGAUCCUAAAAUCGAUCUGUUAGGUGAGGAGAGUUUGGACCACAAUGCGGAAUCUCCCAUGUGUGGUCUCAUGGACUAUCUCGAUCUAGAAACAGAGGGAUCUGUCUUGACCAAGGAGAACCUCAUAGUCUUUCGAGACAAGUAUGACAUAUCCGAUGAAUAUGAAAUACUAGUACUGGAUCGAGAAGAUCGAGUCUCUGAACCUCCUGAGGGCUGCAUAGCUUUUUAUGAUGAAUCUCUUCGAUCUGACCUACGAUUUUCACUGCACUUUUUUUCUGUAAUAUUUUUAAUUUCUAUAGGAUCCAUCCCACUCAAAUAAUCCCAAAUGCAAUUAGGAUGAUUAUAGUAUUCAUCAUCAUGUGCGACUUCCUUCAUAUAGACCUUAGGAUCUUUUUGUUUAGAUCUUUAGUUCUUUUAAAAAAACAUCCGAGUGAGAAAGACUGGUGGUACUUUUCAUCUCGAAAGAAUUGUAAAUUCGGACCUAGCCUUCUUUCUUCCAUUCAUGGCUGGAAAGGCCAUUUUUUCUUUGUUCGGACUCCUAUUCCAUGAGAUUUUAGGACCUCCUGAAGGCAUCCGAACACCAAACAUAACUCUCAUGAUGAAAUUCUCCCCAGAGAUGAGGUGGCUCACUCAACCCUAAUCACCAUCAAAACACCCAAACUCUCUACUUUGAUAAACGAUUAGGCAUUGUGUGACGCUGGAAUCAGUUUGUACUCUCUUCGAGAUAAGACCGGAGUGUUUUAUUUUUUUAACUUCUCC
Molecule: long non-coding RNA, 984 nt
Filed under: Elaeis guineensis (African oil palm)
Lineage: Eukaryota; Viridiplantae; Streptophyta; Magnoliopsida; Arecales; Arecaceae
Description: long non-coding RNA (EGUI_LNC058669)
Source: RNAcentral